Molecule: long non-coding RNA, 304 nt
Filed under: Elaeis guineensis (African oil palm)
Lineage: Eukaryota; Viridiplantae; Streptophyta; Magnoliopsida; Arecales; Arecaceae
Description: long non-coding RNA (EGUI_LNC071469)
Source: RNAcentral
UCGCCGGCAGCCGCGCACAAAUGCACGGGGAUGAAGGAGAAGAAAGAGGGGAGGAAGAGGAAAACUUACCUCAGCCUCCGGAGACCUCGUCGGCGGCAAUCACGGCGAGAAAUCAAAGGGUGUCCGCGGCCUUCGAUCGAGAAAAACGGAGAGAAAGAGAGAGGGAGGAGGUCGAUCUUCAGUCUCAAGGGGAAGGGGUCUUCUUAUAGAGCACCCUAGGACUCCGAGGGGUCCUAGGAGUCCUAAUUUCCAUGGGUUUCGUCGGAGAAGAAGACUCCUACCGGGAGUCUUCUUCCCGGUUGCU